RNAcentral lists this ribosomal RNA (468 nucleotides) under uncultured bacterium. RNAcentral describes it as "partial 16S ribosomal RNA". It matches the Rfam family "Bacterial small subunit ribosomal RNA", at positions 28 to 507 of the family's 1533-position model. The record is from RNAcentral.
GACGAACGCUGGCGGCGUGCUUAACACAUGCAAGUCGAACGGAAAGGCCCUGCUUUUGUGGGGUGCUCGAGUGGCGAACGGGUGAGUAACACGUGAGUAACCUGCCCUUGACUUUGGGAUAACUUCAGGAAACUGGGGCUAAUACCGGAUAGGAGCUCCUGCUGCAUGGUGGGGGUUGGAAAGUUUCGGCGGUUGGGGAUGGACUCGCGGCUUAUCAGCUUGUUGGUGGGGUAGUGGCUUACCCAGGCUUUGGCGGGUAGCCGGCCUGGGAGGGUGACCGGCCACAUUGGGACUGAGGUACGGCCCAGACUCCAACGGGAGGCAGCAGGGGGGAAUAUUGCACAAUGGGCGGAAGCCUGAUGCAGAAACGCCGGGUGGGGAAUGACGGCCUUCGGGUGGUAAACCGCUUUCGCCUGUGACGAAGCGGGAGUGACGGUAAUGGGUAAAGAAGCACCGGCUAACUACGUG